UACAGAGGGUGCAAGCGUUGUUCGGAAUUACUGGGCGUAAAGCGCGUGUAGGCGGCCUCGCAAGUCUCGUGUGAAAGCCCUGGGCUCAACCCAGGAAGUGCGCGAGAUACUGCGGAGCUGGAGUGGCGGAGAGGAUGGCGGAAUUCCCGGUGUAGAGGUGAAAUUCGUAGAUAUCGGGAGGAACACCUGUGGCGAAGGCGGCCAUCUGGACGUCAACUGACGCUGAGACGCGAAAGCGUGGGGAGCAAACAGG
RNAcentral lists this unclassified non-coding RNA (253 nucleotides) under uncultured Myxococcales bacterium. RNAcentral's name for it is "contains 16S-23S intergenic spacer region". It matches the Rfam family "Bacterial small subunit ribosomal RNA", at positions 524 to 776 of the family's 1533-position model. The record is from RNAcentral. Lineage: Bacteria; Pseudomonadati; Myxococcota; Myxococcia; Myxococcales.